RNAcentral lists this ribosomal RNA (619 nucleotides) under Leucosporidium creatinivorum. RNAcentral describes it as "eukaryotic LSU rRNA". It matches the Rfam family "Eukaryotic large subunit ribosomal RNA", at positions 47 to 663 of the family's 3401-position model. Lineage: Eukaryota; Fungi; Basidiomycota; Microbotryomycetes; Leucosporidiales; Leucosporidiaceae. The record is from RNAcentral.
UAAGCGGAGGAAAAGAAACUAACAAGGAUUCCCCUAGUAACGGCGAGUGAAGCGGGAAGAGCUCAAAUUUGUAAUCUGGCACUUUCAGUGUCCGAGUUGUAAUCUCGAGAAGUAUUUUCCGCGCCGGACCGCAUACAAGUCUGUUGGAAUACAGCGUCAUAGUGGUGAGAACCCCGUAACUGAUGCGGAUGCCCGGUGCUUUGUGAUAUACUUUCGAAGAGUCGAGUUGUUUGGGAAUGCAGCUCAAAUUGGGUGGUAAAUUCCAUCUAAAGCUAAAUAUUGGAGCAAGACCGAUAGCGAACAAGUACCGUGAGGGAAAGAUGAAAAGCACUUUGGAAAGAGAGUUAACAGUACGUGAAAUUGUUGGAAGGGAAACGCUUGAAGUCAGACUUGCUAUUCGGAGUUCAGCCGCAAGGUGUAUUCUUCGAUUUGCAGGCCAGCAUCAGUUUUUGGGGGUGGAAAAUCGUGGUUUGAAGGUAGCAGUUUCGGCUGUGUUAUAGCUUUCCACUGGAUUCAUCUUCGGGGACUGAGGAACGCAGUACGCUUUUUGCAAGGCUUUCGAGCUUUUCGUACUUAGGAUGCUGGUGGAAUGGCUUUAAACGACCCGUCUUGAAACACG